RNAcentral lists this ribosomal RNA (424 nucleotides) under uncultured bacterium. Its description in RNAcentral is "bacterial SSU rRNA". It matches the Rfam family "Bacterial small subunit ribosomal RNA", at positions 30 to 456 of the family's 1533-position model. The record is from RNAcentral.
AUUGAACGCUGGCGGCAUGCCUUACACAUGCAAGUCGAACGGCAGCACGGGAGCAAUCCUGGUGGCGAGUGGCGAACGGGUGAGUAAUAUAUCGGAACGUGCCCAGUCGUGGGGAUAACGUAGCGAAAGCUACGCUAAUACCGCAUACGAUCUAUGGAUGAAAGCGGGGGAUCGCAAGACCUCGCGCGAUUGGAGCGGCCGAUAUCAGAUUAGGUAGUUGGUGAGGUAAAGGCUCACCAAGCCGACGAUCUGUAGCUGGUCUGAGAGGACGACCAGCCACACUGGGACUGAGACACGGCCCAGACUCCUACGGGAGGCAGCAGUGGGGGAUUUUGGACAAUGGGCGCAAGCCUGAUCCAGCAAUGCCGCGUGCAGGAUGAAGGCCUUCGGUUGUAACUAGUCUUUGUUACGGUAACGAACGGUA